Mauremys reevesii (Reeves's turtle) is the source of this 463-nucleotide long non-coding RNA. RefSeq lists it as uncharacterized. Lineage: Eukaryota; Metazoa; Chordata; Testudines; Geoemydidae. The record is from RefSeq and is a predicted model, not a curated record. The transcript has 4 exons.
GAUGCACAGACCUUGCCCUGGCUGUCUGCACAGGGCUGAAUUUCACCCCUUCCGAGUGUAUUAUAUGGGCAUUCUUGGGGGCGCAGAUUGCAUCAGACCUGCACCUGAAUAAAUAAUAGGGACUGAAAUAUGCAGACACUGAAGUUUUGCAGCCAAAUUCUCAGGAACCUUCCUCUUCAAUAUAGGAUCAGGAUUUUGUUUUGAAUUGUUUUAUUUUUUUUAAAAGUGCUAAGCAGAUGCUACCCUGUAAGAAGAGGAAACAGAAGGGAAAAGUGAAAGACUGUUACUAAAACCAAUGAACAGCUGCAGAGAGUGGAGACCCGGCAAAGCAGACAAAUGAAUACUGGAAAGGAUCCCCAAAGGAGGUGUAAGGAUCCGGGACUCUAGUGUCUGCCAGAAGCUUCAGCCACCUUCACAGGUUAGAGCUCGCCCUCCAUUGCGGAGGUGAAGACCGGAUGGGAGC